Molecule: long non-coding RNA, 343 nt
Organism: Silurus meridionalis
Lineage: Eukaryota; Metazoa; Chordata; Actinopteri; Siluriformes; Siluridae
Exons: 3
Source: RefSeq, a predicted model, not a curated record
CAACAACUUUUGUUGUAGAUAAGGCUUUUUCCCAUUGUGUGCGCCAUGUGCCUGUGGAGGUUCCUGACAAAAUUUGCGGUUGUUCACCAGAGUCAUUGAGGGUCAGCCCAGGGAAGACUGUUGCUGUGAUCACAAUGAAUGGACGAUAUGAUCUAAGCAUGCCUGAGUUGAGUUGUGAGGCAUGCCAAGCCACUUGGGCUGCUGGAGUGGUCGAGCUAAAUCGAAGUGACUACUGGCCUGCGACCCUUAACUUUGCCACAAUUCAUGCCACAGAUGUCUUUUUUUCAUUUGAAGAAAUGAAGAUGGCAGCACCAGGACUGUCCUGCCAAGCUUUUUCGAAAAU